ACGAUGAAGAGUUUGAUCCUGGCUCAGGAUGAACGCUAGCGGCAGGCUUAACACAUGCAAGUCGAGGGGUAACGGGGAAGCUUGCUUCCGCCGACGACCGGCGCACGGGUGCGUAACGCGUAUACAAUCUACCUUGUACUGGGGUAUAGCCUUUAGAAAUGAAGAUUAAUCCCCCAUAGUCUCUUAGAGUGGCAUCACUUCUAGAGUAAAGGUUACGGUAUAAGAUGAGUAUGCGUUCUAUUAGUUUGUUGGUGUGGUAACGGCACACCAAGACUACGAUAGAUAGGGGCCCUGAGAGGGGGAUCCCCCACACUGGUACUGAGACACGGACCAGACUCCUACGGGAGGCAGCAGUGAGGAAUAUUGGACAAUGGAGGCAACUCUGAUCCAGCCAUGCCGCGUGCAGGAAGACUGCCCUAUGGGUUGUAAACUGCUUUUAUACAGGAAGAAACACCUCUACGUGUAGAGGCUUGACGGUACUGUAAGAAUAAGGAUCGGCUAACUCCGUGCCAGCAGCCGCGGUAAUACGGAGGAUCCAAGCGUUAUCCGGAAUCAUUGGGUUUAAAGGGUCCGUAGGUGGAUAAUUAAGUCAGAGGUGAAAUCUUGCAGCUCAACUGUAAAAUUGCCUUUGAAACUGGUUAUCUUGAGUUAUUAUGAAGUAGUUAGAAUAUGUAGUGUAGCGGUGAAAUGCAUAGAUAUUACAUAGAAUACCAAUUGCGAAGGCAGAUUACUAAUAAUCAACUGACACUGAUGGACGAAAGCGUGGGUAGCGAACAGGAUUAGAUACCCUGGUAGUCCACGCCGUAAACGAUGGUUACUAGCUGUUUGGACUUCGGUCUGAGUGGCUAAGCGAAAGUGAUAAGUAACCCACCUGGGGAGUACGUUCGCAAGAAUGAAACUCAAAGGAAUUGACGGGGGCCCGCACAAGCGGUGGAGCAUGUGGUUUAAUUCGAUGAUACGCGAGGAACCUUACCAGGGCUUAAAUGUAAGUUGCAUUAGUUAGAGAUAGCUAUUUCUUCGGACCACUUACAAGGUGCUGCAUGGUUGUCGUCAGCUCGUGCCGUGAGGUGUCAGGUUAAGUCCUAUAACGAGCGCAACCCCUGUUGUUAGUUGCCAGCGAGUCAUGUCGGGAACUCUAACAAGACUGCCAGUGCAAACUGUGAGGAAGGUGGGGAUGACGUCAAAUCAUCACGGCCCUUACGUCCUGGGCUACACACGUGCUACAAUGGUAGGUACAGAGAGCAGCCACUGCGCGAGCAGGAGCGAAUCUAUAAAACCUAUCACAGUUCGGAUCGGAGUCUGCAACUCGACUCCGUGAAGCUGGAAUCGCUAGUAAUCGGAUAUCAGCCAUGAUCCGGUGAAUACGUUCCCGGGCCUUGUACACACCGCCCGUCAAGCCAUGGAAGUUGGAAGUGCCUGAAGUCCGUCACCGCAAGGAGCGGCCUAGGGUAAAGUCGAUAACUAGGGCUAAGUCGUAACAAGGUAGCCGUACCGGAAGGUGCGGCUGGAACACCUCCUUU
This 1520-nucleotide ribosomal RNA is filed under the name Flavobacteriaceae bacterium. Its description in RNAcentral is "bacterial SSU rRNA". It matches the Rfam family "Bacterial small subunit ribosomal RNA". Lineage: Bacteria; Pseudomonadati; Bacteroidota; Flavobacteriia; Flavobacteriales; Flavobacteriaceae. The record is from RNAcentral.